CAUUCUUAAGCAGCUCGAUAGGAAAGUACUCGCACAGAAUUCAUCUUUUCUUAGCACUCAUGGAUGGCGGCCAUGGCUUCAAUGAUGAUGAAAGCACCCGCAGCCCUUAACUGCGGGGCAGUCAAAAGGAAUAGUGUGGGUCAUAUCAGUAGAUUGCCCAACAGUCAAGUGCAAGGCUGCAAAGGAUCCAAAGGAAACGUCCUCUACUGAAGGCGUUUCUCCUUCAAGCUCUACCAAGGUGAGCACGAAAUUGGCCUGCGCCGGAGAUCAUCAAUGGAAGAGCGGCUAUGUUGGGGUUCGUGUCGGCCAUUGCAGUGGAGGUGGCCAGCGGAAGAGAUUUGUUGUCGCAGUUGAAUAGUGGAGGACUGUCCUGGUUUGCGUUAACUGCAGGAUUAAUGACGGUAGGGACACUGGCGCCCCUGUAAAUAUUUUCAUCCACAGCAGAAAUGUGGAAUGGGCGCUUUGCUAUGCUCGGCCUACUCGCAUUGGCUUUCACUGACCGCUUGUAUAAACACCUUAAUAUCUAUUUCUAUUCAAGCACAAGCUCCAAUAUUGGAGGCAUUCUCAUGACAUUACAUGUUCCAGUGGAGUUUUCUUGUACUGUUUAGCUUGUGAUACAGUUCAAUUAUACAAAACGUUGUAAAAAAUUCAGUCUUAUACUAUAAAGAAAGUUUGAGUUCAACUACUAGGGCGCGUAACUAUUUUUUGAAAGCUUGUUAAA
Molecule: RNA transcript, 721 nt
Organism: Cryptomeria japonica (Japanese cedar)
Lineage: Eukaryota; Viridiplantae; Streptophyta; Pinopsida; Cupressales; Cupressaceae
Exons: 3
Source: RefSeq, a predicted model, not a curated record